RNA transcript from Acanthochromis polyacanthus (spiny chromis), 2415 nucleotides. It is a transcript of the gene named thrombopoietin, with no coding region annotated. Lineage: Eukaryota; Metazoa; Chordata; Actinopteri; Pomacentridae. The transcript has 5 exons. The record is from RefSeq and is a predicted model, not a curated record.
GGAUGGGGUUGUCUGCAGAAAUUGGAAGAAGCUUGGAGGGGGAGAAAAAGACAAAACACGACAAAUGUUUAGUGCUCUAUGUCUGCGUCCCCCUCUCUCUCCCUCUCUCUCCUUCAACCCUUGUAUGUGACAACACACAUGCACCAACACUUGAAGAUCUAAUAUUAGGCGCCAUGCGUCUUAAUCUUGGCACUCAAAAAAAAAAAAAAAACAGCCUGGGUGCAGAAAGCGGAGGGCAGGGGCUCAGUCACUGUCCAGAGUGAGGUGAUGGGGAUCAGCACGUGUGUCUGCAAAUGAGAAUGGAUGGUGCAUUCCCUGCUGCUUUCUCUUCUCUGUGUUUUUGACAGCUAUUAUAGCUCUUUAACCCCCUACAUGGCAAUUGAAAUAGAGGUUCACCGCGUCCUCCAGCUGCGACCCCAGGCACUGCAACCCGAUAGAUGAUUGCAUCUAUCCUGAAAAAUACGUGUUUCCCUGUCAUUCGGGGUGGUGUAUUUAGUCCAUAAGGGCUUUAAACGAUCCUGGGAUGGGUAAUCACGUUAGCAGUGAUGUCACCUUUUCCUGCCUGCAUAGCCCACGUGCUUAUUACUACAGAUGCAAAAAGUGAAAUCCUUAAAACAGAAGGUCUAAACUAAAAAAAGAAAACUAAACAAAAAACAAAAAAGCUAAAAAAAAAAACUACUUUGGACCUUUUCUGUGCUUUUGUGAACUAAUAUCUAAAAACAAUCUGCUGCUACACUGACAAUUUUUGACUUGUGGGUGUCUAAAAUGCUAUAAACACUCUGAGUCAUGUACAUGCAUUAUGUCAGACAGAUAAGGCAUCACACCCACGGUGCUUACACACACCCACAUGCAAGGUUGUGCAGCUCCCUCUGACAAUUUUGUAAAGUAUAUGAACCCUCGCUGCUGCUUCUAUGGGCCAGAGCAAACCCAGACAAAAAAAGUAAAUAUCCUCCAGCAGCAGUGGAUUUGAUGCCAGCUGUGUAAAUGGCUUCUAUCACAAUAAUAAAUCAUUAACCUUUUGGUCAGCAACUAUGCUGUUCCCUGAAAACCAAAACAGGCCAAGCAAGAAGGAAAAGAGUCCCGCUCCUAUCAAUGAAAUGCCAUUUUCAGACUCUAACAUUUUGCUAAGCAGCGCAGCAGAGAAGUUGGAGCGCAUCCUGCUCUCAGGCUAGAUAACACUCGCACUUCCCACCACUGAAUGAGAAGGUGGGAAAUCAAGUGGUGAGAAGACAAAAAGGACACACAGCUCCUUUUUUUGUGAGACGCUAGAGGGCAUUUUUCACCUGGCACAUCUCUUAAUGGAACAAAUGUGGACUCAUCAAGAGCGGCCGAACAGGGCAUGGCUUUAAGCAGACUCCUGCUGCUCUGUGUGGUAGCCUCUGAGGUGUGGGACGCAGAGACCAAAUCCAGAGAGUUUGUGUGUAUUCGAGUUGCCAGGCGGGCUUUGAAUAUUGUGCCAGAGAUGAACAGCGCACUGUCAUCCAUCAGUCUGUCUGUCUGCUGUCCACCUGUCUGUCUGGCUCCUGUCACCUGUCUUUUCCACAUCUCUUUCUUUCCAGAGUGACUGCAAUGGGAUGAUGACCCUCUCCACACCUGUUCCGCUGCCCUGCACUGAGCUUCACAUAGCGACCUGGGAAAACAAAUCAGAUCAGGAGAAGAGAGGAGACAUAGUUGCAUCCUUGAGGCUUCUGGUUGAGGGUGUAAAGGUUGUAAGAGCCCCAAUGCAGGCCGGAUGUGAAGCCACAUUACUGCAGAGACUGGAGAACAACAUCAACAACUACCUGCUCAUACUCACACGCCUUCAGCUGAGUGGGUCAGUGAUGUCUCCUUCAUUGUCUUGUGUUCCUCGAAGCACCCAAAGUCUGAGAGCAGUCCUGCUGAGCUACAGCCAACUGAUCUCAGGCAAACUGGAGCGGUUUAUGCUGAACCUGGAAGACACAUGCACUACCCAGUGACAAAAGGACAAUUCUUUACAAAUGGGGGUUGAGUUCAUCACUUCUGGAGCCGAAUGCCAGAAAAAUAAGAAGUGCAUCAAAGCAAAACAGCAGGAUGGAACUAUAUCUCGUUCCAUUUGGCAAAAUUUUCAUUUGUUGAGAGUCAGCUUUAGUACUGUGUGAUGUGUAGGCUUGCCCAAAAGUGUAAAUUCAUCAUUCUCUGCUAGAAAUUAUGAGAAAUUAAAGCUGAAUAACCACAGAGAAAGGAAACAAUACACCAUCUGUGAUAGGCAUCAGAGGCAAACUAAAGUAUAAUAAUACAGUGAUUUUUGUGUCAAUCAACAUGAACGAAGUGAUGCUUUAAAUCUGACUGUCGGCCUGUAAUAUAAAUAAAAACCUAUAUGAUGUUUUUAUGUAGCCACGAGCGAGCUUUGUCAAGUCUCCAGUUUAUGUAAAAUAAUUAAAAUCCAACUUGAUCAUC